AUAAUACUUCCUCCAUCCCAAAAUUCUUGUCUUAGAUUUGUCUAAAUACGGAUGUAUCAAGUCACAUUUUAGUAUUAGAUACAUCUGUAUCUAGACAAAUUUAAGACAAGAAUUUUGAGACGAAGGGAGUACUAA
Triticum urartu is the source of this 135-nucleotide non-coding RNA. The record is from Rfam. NCBI's taxonomy places the organism in Eukaryota, Viridiplantae, Streptophyta, Magnoliopsida, Poales, Poaceae.